This 468-nucleotide ribosomal RNA is filed under the name uncultured bacterium. RNAcentral's name for it is "partial 16S ribosomal RNA". It matches the Rfam family "Bacterial small subunit ribosomal RNA", at positions 28 to 507 of the family's 1533-position model. The record is from RNAcentral.
GACGAACGCUGGCGGCGUGCUUAACACAUGCAAGUCGAACGGAAAGGCCCUGCUUUUGCGGGGUGCUCGAGUGGCGAACGGGUGAGUAACACGUGAGUAACCUGCCCUUGACUUUGGGAUAACUUCAGGAAACUGGGGCUAAUACCGGAUAGGAGCUCCUGCUGCAUGGUGGGGGUUGGAAAGUUUCGGCGGUUGGGGAUGGACUCGCGGCUUAUCAGCUUGUUGGUGGGGUAGUGGCUUACCAAGGCUUUGACGGGUAGCCGGCCUGAGAGGGUGACCGGCCACAUUGGGACUGAGAUACGGCCCAGACUCCUACGGGAGGCAGCGGUGGGGAAUAUUGCACAAUGGGCGGAAGCCUGAUGCAGCAACGCCGCGUGCGGGAUGACGGCCUUCGGGUUGUAAACCGCUUUCGCCUGUGACGAAGCGUGAGUGACGGUAAUGGGUAAAGAAGCACCGGCUAACUACGUG